Non-coding RNA from Pelobates cultripes (western spadefoot toad), 1118 nucleotides. NCBI's taxonomy places the organism in Eukaryota, Metazoa, Chordata, Amphibia, Anura, Pelobatidae. The record is from the annotation of a GenBank genome assembly.
GUCCUGUUGUCCGAUUGAACCAUUACCGACACACCUAGGGGGUUCAAUGGAACAAGGCCUUGGAGGGCUAAUCUGAUUGCCUCAACUCUAGUAAAUUUAUGUGAAGAAGCCUUUCUUGAACUGACCAAACUCCUCUUAUCGCGCCUUGGGCAGAGAAAGCACCCCAUUCCUUGGUAGAAGCAUCUGUGGUCAAGGUUAACUUCCAGAAGGGGGCGAGGAAGUGGACUUGACCCUUCCAAUAUCUUGUUUAGCUCUUUUCUGACACUCAUGGGAAGGACCACCCUUAACCCCCACUGGCCACCUCGUCUCAGUUGGUUUCCUAGAAACAGCUGACUUCGUCUGCACAGCAAGGGGGAAGCAUCGUAACCCGGUGUUAAAGCUAUCAGCCUCCCAAUAGUCUUUGCUAUUUCUCUUAGGGACCAUCUGUGUUUUAAAGAGCUGAAGCUAUCUGAGCUAGGAUUUUUCCCCAUUUGUCUUGGGGAACACCCAAGGUCAUAUCCAUAGUGUUCAGCAUGAAACCCAAAAAUAGGAUAUUCUGAGUAGGGACUGGGAUGGAUUUUUGCAGAUCUACAAUAAACCUCAGAUCCUGUAAUAAGGAAAUUAGGUAAUCUCUCUGGUGAACGAUAGCAUCUACCUCUGGAUUCAACAACAGGAUGUCGUCUAAGUAAUAAAGGCAUAGAAAUCCUCUUUGCCUGACGUGGGAUAUAAUAGCUUUCAUUAUCCUGGAAAAUGUGUAAGGUGCGUUGGAAAGGCCAAACACGAUUACAGUCCAGUGAUAUAUGUGUUCCUUCCAGUGGAAUCUGAGAAAGUGCCUGUGUUUCAUAGCUAUAUGGAAUGGAAAUCAUCUGCACUAGGCCUGGGAGGUCUGUUAAACCUUCCAUCCUGAAUCUUUUCCUCUUUAGGAAAGCAUUCAAAGCCUUGACGUUUAGUAAUGGUCUUCACGUGCCGUCUGAUUUUGGAAUAGUGAACAAGGGACCGAUCCAACCUGAAAUUGACAAAUCUGCCAAUUCUAUUUUUCCCUGAGCUAAUGCCUGGGAAAGAGAGGAAUCUAGAACGGGAUUUACCUCCGCCCAGAGCUUGACUCUGGAAAGGAAACUGAAUGAGAGGGAGUUGUAAAC